CCCAUAGCUCAAUCGGUUAGAGCAGCGGACUCAUAAUCCGUUGGUUACAGGUUCAAGUCCUGUUGGG
This 67-nucleotide transfer RNA is filed under the name human gut metagenome. It matches the Rfam family "tRNA". Rfam says of the family: Transfer RNA (tRNA) molecules are approximately 80 nucleotides in length. Their secondary structure includes four short double-helical elements and three loops (D, anti-codon, and T loops). Further hydrogen bonds mediate the characteristic L-shaped molecular structure. tRNAs have two regions of fundamental functional importance: the anti-codon, which is responsible for specific mRNA codon recognition, and the 3' end, to which the tRNAs corresponding amino acid is attached (by aminoacyl-tRNA synthetases). tRNAs cope with the degeneracy of the genetic code in two manners: having more than one tRNA (with a specific anti-codon) for a particular amino acid; and 'wobble' base-pairing, i.e. permitting non-standard base-pairing at the 3rd anti-codon position. The record is from RNAcentral. RNAcentral also lists the same sequence under 1 other name.